UAGAGUUUGAUCCUGGCUCAGAUUGACCGCUGGCGGCAGGCCUAACACAUGCAAGUCGAGCGGCAGCGGGAAAGUAGCUUGCUACUUUUGCCGGCGAGCGGCGGACGGGUGAGUAAUGCCUGGGAAAUUGCCCAGUCGAGGGGGAUAACUGUUGGAAACGACUGCUAAUACCGCACACCCCCUACGGGGGAAAGCAGGGGACCUUCGGGCCUUGCGCGAUUGAAUAUGCCCAGGUGGGAUUAGCUAGGGGGAGAGGUAAUGGCUCACCGAGGCGACCAUCCCUAUCUGGUCAGAGAGGAUGAUCACCCCCCCUGGAAACUGAGACACGGUCCAGACUCCUACGGGAGGCAGCAGUGGGGAAUAUUGCACAAUGGGGGGAAACCCUGAUGCAGCCAUGCCGCGUGUGUGAAGAAGGCGUUCGGAAAAUAAAGCACUUUCAGCGAGGAGGAAAGGUCAGUAGAUAAUAUCUACUGGCUGUGACGUUACUCGCAGAAGAAGCACCGGCUAACUCCGUGCCAGCAGCCGCGGUAAUACGGAGGGUGCAGGCGUUAAUCGGAAUUACUGGGCGUAAAGCGCACGCAGGCGGUUGGAUAAGUUAGAUGUGAAAGCCCCGGGCUCAACCUGGGAAUUGCAUUUAAAACUGUCCAGCUAGAGUCUUGUAGAGGGGGGUAGAAUUCCAGGUGUAGCGGUGAAAUGCGUAGAGAUCUGGAGGAAUACCGGUGGCGAAGGCGGCCCCCUGGACAAAGACUGACGCUCAGGUGCGAAAGCGUGGGGAGCAAACAGGAUUAGAUACCCUGGUAGUCCACGCCGUAAAC
This 815-nucleotide ribosomal RNA is filed under the name uncultured bacterium. RNAcentral describes it as "bacterial SSU rRNA". It matches the Rfam family "Bacterial small subunit ribosomal RNA", at positions 1 to 807 of the family's 1533-position model. The record is from RNAcentral.